This 315-nucleotide long non-coding RNA is filed under the name Populus trichocarpa (black cottonwood). Its description in RNAcentral is "long non-coding RNA (PTRI_LNC003839)". The record is from RNAcentral. Lineage: Eukaryota; Viridiplantae; Streptophyta; Magnoliopsida; Malpighiales; Salicaceae.
UCCAUUUUAUAUGGAUGGAAAGAUAAGACAUAGGCCUACAACUUUUAUGUGGAGCCCAAGAUUUAAAAAGGCCGUUUUCAAGUCCAAAUGGCAGCAACAACAAAGAAGUCCGAAUCUGUCCUACAGCCCAGACACUGUUUAGUUUUCAGCCCAUAUCUCGACUUCUAGAAGUCCAAAUGAUCUCAAAUUUUAACCCUGGAAAGAUGAGACAAUUCUCUAGAACUUUCAUGAUUGAAGUUUGUUCAGAUUAUGACGUCAUCAAUGACGUUUUGGGCAGACAAGAAGAUAAGGAUUGUCACCAAGUCAAGAUGUGGC